Long non-coding RNA from Brachypodium distachyon (stiff brome), 527 nucleotides. RefSeq lists it as uncharacterized. The record is from RefSeq and is a predicted model, not a curated record. NCBI's taxonomy places the organism in Eukaryota, Viridiplantae, Streptophyta, Magnoliopsida, Poales, Poaceae. The transcript has 3 exons.
GUCGAUUUUUCAGCAUAUACGCGAGGAGUGCUGACAGAAAAAAAUUCAGAGAGGAUCACGCCCAAUAUUUAACUCCGCUGGUACGGUACGGGAUACACCAACACUGAUAGAUCAGGCGCGGCGUGCCAGCCGAUCCAAAUAAAGCCUUGUAGUGUACAAUCUCAAGGAUGAGGGAGUGAAGAACGGACACAUGAGGCAUGGUUUGUCCCGGGAGUUUCUUAUCAUAAUCCAAGUAACCCAAAUUACAAAUGAUUUAUGUCAGAAACAGAGGGGCAUGCAUUACAUAAUAAUUCGUAGCUUCAUUGCUGACUAUAUCCCACACUUCUCUCUAUGUAUAUGGUAAUAUCAUAACAGUGUGAACCCCUAGCUGGCCAAGACGGUCGGGGACCUGUAACAUUGAAGAGAAUCGAUCAGAUUGCCAGCACAACAGUCAAAAGAUCACGGAGUGCAUCCUCGAGGCAUUCGUUGAUUUCUUGCUCGUCCGGCUUCCAGUCCAAAUGCCUCCUAGGUCCUUGCGCCGAAGAAUU